This 23-nucleotide non-coding RNA is filed under the name Rattus norvegicus (Norway rat). The record is from RNAcentral. Lineage: Eukaryota; Metazoa; Chordata; Mammalia; Rodentia; Muridae.
UGAGCAAGACUCCCACCUCCUAA